This 4403-nucleotide long non-coding RNA is filed under the name Homo sapiens (human). Its description in RNAcentral is "non-protein coding lnc-GJA9-1:3". Lineage: Eukaryota; Metazoa; Chordata; Mammalia; Primates; Hominidae. The record is from RNAcentral.
AUGGUGCUGUUUUAAAAGCAAGGAUAAGCAGAAAGGGACAUGGAUUUUAGUUGAUGGAUGACUCACUCACUACAUUCAACUGAACUGAAUCUGCUCUAUACCAGCAAAGGGACAAAUUCAGAAAAUAAAUUGAAGAUGGCCAUGCUGUAACUUCUAAACAUGGUUUGCUUCUCAGAUUUACCUAAACUAAGAAAGGUUUGCUUUAAGAAAUAGUGCUCCCUUCAGAAUGGAAGAAUUUAUCUGCCUCUUAUUUGAUGUGGAUCAGAGCUAAGAUGGCUGACUAAAUAAACAUGGGGGACUGGAAUCUCCUUGGAGAUACUCUGGAGGAAGUUCACAUCCACUCCACCAUGAUUGGAAAGAUCUGGCUCACCAUCCUGUUCAUAUUUCGAAUGCUUGUUCUGGGUGUAGCAGCUGAAGAUGUCUGGAAUGAUGAGCAGUCUGGCUUCAUCUGCAAUACAGAACAACCAGGCUGCAGAAAUGUAUGCUACGACCAGGCCUUUCCUAUCUCCCUCAUUAGAUACUGGGUUCUGCAGGUGAUAUUUGUGUCUUCACCAUCCCUGGUCUACAUGGGCCAUGCAUUGUACCGACUGAGAGUUCUUGAGGAAGAGAGGCAAAGGAUGAAAGCUCAGUUAAGAGUAGAACUGGAGGAGGUAGAGUUUGAAAUGCCUAGGGAUCGGAGGAGAUUGGAGCAAGAGCUUUGUCAGCUGGAGAAAAGGAAACUAAAUAAAGCUCCACUCAGAGGAACCUUGCUUUGCACUUAUGUGAUACACAUUUUCACUCGCUCUGUGGUUGAAGUUGGAUUCAUGAUUGGACAGUACCUUUUAUAUGGAUUUCACUUAGAGCCGCUAUUUAAGUGCCAUGGCCACCCGUGUCCAAAUAUAAUCGACUGUUUUGUCUCAAGACCAACAGAAAAGACAAUAUUCCUAUUAUUUAUGCAAUCUAUAGCCACUAUUUCACUUUUCUUAAACAUUCUUGAAAUUUUCCACCUAGGUUUUAAAAAGAUUAAAAGAGGGCUUUGGGGAAAAUACAAGUUGAAGAAGGAACAUAAUGAAUUCCAUGCAAACAAGGCAAAACAAAAUGUAGCCAAAUACCAGAGCACAUCUGCAAAUUCACUGAAGCGACUCCCUUCUGCCCCUGAUUAUAAUCUGUUAGUGGAAAAGCAAACACACACUGCAGUGUACCCUAGUUUAAAUUCAUCUUCUGUAUUCCAGCCAAAUCCUGACAAUCAUAGUGUAAAUGAUGAGAAAUGCAUUUUGGAUGAACAGGAAACUGUACUUUCUAAUGAGAUUUCCACACUUAGUACUAGUUGUAGUCAUUUUCAACACAUCAGUUCAAACAAUAACAAAGACACUCAUAAAAUAUUUGGAAAAGAACUUAAUGGUAACCAGUUAAUGGAAAAAAGAGAAACUGAAGGCAAAGACAGCAAAAGGAACUACUACUCUAGAGGUCACCGUUCUAUUCCAGGUGUUGCUAUAGAUGGAGAGAACAACAUGAGGCAGUCACCCCAAACAGUUUUCUCCUUGCCAGCUAACUGCGAUUGGAAACCGCGGUGGCUUAGAGCUACAUGGGGUUCCUCUACAGAACAUGAAAACCGGGGGUCACCUCCUAAAGUGCCUGGCUCAAAAGCUACUGCAAGCUCGUUACUGCUCAUCCUCCAGAGGCCCACAUCAAGUCAGCCACGACUCAAGGAGACUCCAAAGAUAAAAGCUGAAGCCAAAAUAUAUGAUUCUAAACACCCUCCUCGGCUACUGCAAAGCACUGUGAGCACUUUCUCAGGACGAGAGCCAAGAAGCCCAGCACCUAUGGGUCACCACAGUUUCCGAGGUCCCAGAUGAAAAAGAUGCGCUCGCUACCACCGUGCGGCGGUCCUUUCUCUCGCAAUAGUCUCAAUGCUCCCGGGCCCUGCCUCCGGACGCCAGGACAGAGGCCGCCGACUCGAAGCGUGAGCAGUUCCGGAGGUACUUGGAGAAGUCGGGGGUGCUGGACACGCUGACCAAGGUGUUGGUAGCCUUAUAUGAAGAACCAGAGAAACCUAACAGUGCUUUGGAUUUUUUAAAGCAUCACUUAGGAGCUGCUACUCCAGAAAAUCCAGAAAUAGAGCUGCUUCGCCUAGAACUGGCCGAAAUGAAAGAGAAGUAUGAAGCUAUUGUAGAAGAAAAUAAAAAACUGAAAGCAAAGCUUGCUCAGUAUGAACCACCUCAGGAGGAGAAGCGUGCUGAAUAGGAUUCUUCUCAGUUUGAAAGACAAUGAAAAAUGGUUUUGUAUGACUUGAAUAGUUUGUAUAGUAUAUAAUCUUUUCUGAACAGAUGCUAUAGAACUCUUUUAAUAUGUUUAAUUCACCUAUCACACUCUGUUAAAAACACAUAGAAUCAUCAAUAAAAACUCAAUAUAACUUUCUUUGGGUCUUAAAGCAGGAGAAUCCAAAGUAAAUCCUGAACAAAACCUAAACACAGCCAUCUAACUCAUUACCUUAAAAGACAUUCUGUUUAUUAGUCUGAUUAGGAAUGAUGGCACUGGUUGUAUUUUAGCCAAGACAGUUUAGCAUGGAGCUAUUCCUUGGUGCAGUUCAGGAUAUGAACACAGGUACAGUCAUUCUUUGAAGGUGACACUGUUCUGUAUAUUCCCUAUAGGCAGCUGGAGAGAUCUGUGUGACACAAGAUGCUUUUGUACGGGUUCCCAUGAAUCUUCUGCUCUUGUUUGUGUGACAUGGAACAAAUAACUUCUUUGCCACCACUUUGCCUUAGAUAACUGUGUGUGUGUGUGCCAGUUUGAACUCUGACACCACAUUUUCCUUCUAUGCAAUCAUGCCUGUCUGAUAAUCUUGCAUUGCUUUCCUCUGAGCUUUAGUGGGUCCUAGUUGCACACUGGCCUUUCUGUGCUGUUUUUCAAUUUGCCUAAUAAUAGCAGUUACCCUGAUUGUAAUUUAUGUAACUUUAAACAGGAUCACACUGUACCCCCUGCCUGCCUUAUUUGCUUACUGAGCACAGGACAGAGGCAAUAUACAACUCUGGGUUCACACACAAGCUGAGAUGAGAAGAGGAAUGAGCCAUAUAUUGGGGAAAAUCAUAGUUUGUAGGUAUAAUUAUAUAGUGCUUUUCUCCCUCAAAGUAUUUUUCUAGCCUUGAAUUCAUUUUAUCUUCAUUAUCCCUGUGAAGUAGGUGGGACAAGUAUAAGGGGAAGAGGGGUGCUGAAUUUUUAGGCCAAAGACUGAUAUUAAUACAAAUCACUCACUAACUGUAGAGCCUUGGGCAUUAUCAGUGAACUACUCUGAGAUUUACUGUCUUCAUCUGUUUAAUGAGUAGAAUGUCCGUGAUGCCUACCUCACAGGGUUGUUGUGAGGGUCAAAUGAGAAUGUAUGUGAAAGAUUUGUAAAUGGUAAAGCACUAUAUUCUUGUUUGUUAGUCCUUUUUCCUUUCUUUGGGUAGACCUACAGUCAGAUGUUUUGUUUUAUGGAUCACUUAUUUUCCUUACUGGUAGACUGUCGUUUUAUAGACAUAUUCCUAUUUCAUAUAUUCUCUCCCUGUUGUUAGAGAACCUAUCUUUGUUUUUGGUCAAAACACACAUAGAAAACAAAAUGAUCCAAUGAAAACUGGUUUAACUAGCAAAAGCCUUGGCACCUGUUGGAGACUAUGACCAAGCCAAUAAAAAGGGCAUUUAAAUCAGCCCUGUUAGUAGGAAUGUGGCUAUGGCUGGUGCCUCUUCUAGUCACAAGUUUGUUUUUGGAGGGGGUCCAGAAGAUCAUUCCCUUGCAUAGAUUUCUCUUUUACCAAUUUGAGUGCCUCCUACAUGGGCAGCAGUGGACUAAGUGCUGGGUGUGAUAAAGAGGAAUGACUUAAUUAUGAGACUGUAUAUAAUCAAAUACAGUGUGGGUUAGGACCUGUGGCAGACCAUUAUAAUAAAGCAUGGCCCCGUGAGGGUUUUGAAAGAGAGAGAGACUUGGCUUCCUUAGUUGGUAUGAUAGUUUCUUGGUAGAUACAGGUUGAAAAUUUUUUGUGGCAGCCAAUCCUCAUGGGCUUUUUACUCAUUUGAUUAGUAUUAAUAUUUAUGUCAGUAAGCCAGGUGACUGUGACUGUCUUUGGUACCAUCCUUUUUGAACAGAAAGGCAACAUGUGGGUUGGAUAAUCACACUUUUAGGUGAAACUGACUUGCUUAAACUGUAACAGUCAGUGCUAUUUAAGAAUUCAGGAUAAGCUUAGCCUCUAGAGGUCCUCUUCAACAUUUCUGUCAAGGAUUUGGAUGAAUACAACAAGAUGCUCCAUGGAAGAGAAAAUGGAUAAAUGGAUCCCACCAGUUAAGCUCCUAUUAUGCUUCAGCUGCUUUGUCUAUAAAAUAUCGACUUCACAUCUUGCCUAUCUCACAAGUUGGUUGUAAGAAUCAAAUUAAAUAUAAUGGAUGUAAAAGUG